GCGAGCGUUAACCGGAAUUACUGGGCGUAAAGCGUGCGUAGACGGUUAUGUAAGUCGGAUGUGAAAGCCCCGGGCUCAACCUGGGAAUUGCAUUCGAGACUGAAUAGCUAGGGUACGGUAGAGGGAAGCGGAAUUUCCGGUGUAGCGGUGAAAUGCGUAGAUAUCGGAAGGAACAUCAGUGGCGAAAGCGGCUUCCUGGACCAGUACCGACGUUCAGGCACGAAAGCGUGGGGAGCAAACAGG
Molecule: ribosomal RNA, 243 nt
Filed under: uncultured bacterium
Lineage: Bacteria
Description: partial 16S ribosomal RNA
Rfam family: Bacterial small subunit ribosomal RNA
Source: RNAcentral